Molecule: long non-coding RNA, 306 nt
Filed under: Mytilus galloprovincialis (Mediterranean mussel)
Lineage: Eukaryota; Metazoa; Mollusca; Bivalvia; Mytilida; Mytilidae
Source: RNAcentral
CAUAUCAAGACAAUGUGAUUAGUUUGUUUUAAAACGUUGUUUACAAUUAUAGACAAUGCUUUUUGUUUGUUUCAAAACUUGUUUUAUUUACAAUCAAUUCUAUUUACACAAUGUUUUGUGUUCGUUUAAAAAUUGUUUAUUUACAAUUAUCUCAAAACGGGAGAGACCCGUUUGCACCAAAAAUGCGUCCUUUUGCGCCACAACGUUUUUUUUUGCAAAUGCUACGUUUGCGCCACCUGUUUUAAAAUUACAUGGCAUCAUUUGCGCCAAAAAAUAAAACAUACGAUUGCGCCAAUUAGAGAAAAA